CGGAGGGUGCAAGCGUUGUCCGGAUUUAUUGGGUUUAAAGGGUGCGUAGGCGGUCUUUUAAGUCAGUGGUGAAAUCCUGCAGCUCAACUGUAGAACAGCCAUUGAUACUGAAAGACUUGAGUACAGACGAGGCAGGCGGAAUUUAUGGUGUAGCGGUGAAAUGCAUAGAUACCAUAAAGAACCCCUAUUGCGAAGGCAGCUUACUAGGCUGUAACUGACGCUGAGGCACGAAAGCGUGGGGAUCAAACAGGAUUAGAUACCCUGGUAGUCCACGCCGUAAACGAUGAUUACUCGAUGUUCGCGAUAUACAGUGAGCGUCCAAGCGAAAGCGUUAAGUAAUCCACCUGGGAAGUACGAUCGCAAGAUUG
RNAcentral lists this ribosomal RNA (368 nucleotides) under uncultured organism. RNAcentral's name for it is "bacterial SSU rRNA". It matches the Rfam family "Bacterial small subunit ribosomal RNA", at positions 526 to 896 of the family's 1533-position model. The record is from RNAcentral.